This 253-nucleotide ribosomal RNA is filed under the name uncultured bacterium. RNAcentral describes it as "partial 16S ribosomal RNA". It matches the Rfam family "Bacterial small subunit ribosomal RNA", at positions 524 to 776 of the family's 1533-position model. The record is from RNAcentral.
UACAGAGGUCUCAACCGUUGUUCGGAUUCAUUGGGCGUAAAGGGUGCGUAGGCGGUCGGGUAAGUCGGAUGUGAAAUCUCAGGGCUCAACCCUGAAACUGCAUUCGAUACUGCCUGGCUAGGGUACUGGAGAGGAGACUGGAAUUUACGGUGUAGCAGUGAAAUGCGUAGAUAUCGAGAGGAACACCUGCGGCGAAGGCGGGUUGCUGGGCUGACACUGACGCUGAACUGCGAAAGCUAGGGGAGCGAACGGG